RNAcentral lists this ribosomal RNA (579 nucleotides) under Triticum aestivum (bread wheat). Its description in RNAcentral is "partial small subunit ribosomal RNA". The record is from RNAcentral. Lineage: Eukaryota; Viridiplantae; Streptophyta; Magnoliopsida; Poales; Poaceae.
AUGGUGGCACUUCGAUAUGCGGCGAGGACACUUGGUCGAUUCACGCUCCGAAGACCACAGGGGUUCGGCAUCUCAUCGACUGCGGCAGAGGAUCAACAGCGGUUCCUGCCACGGCUCAUCAACACGAAUAUAUCAGCUCCAACGGCAGCUCCUUCGACUCCGACAGCCCCCCCGGAUGAUGACCCCUACACGGUCUUCACCAUGUACUACGGCCGUCAAGGGGAAGGGCAAGGCGCCGUGCCGGGCCUCACAGCUGAGCAACAAAAAGAUGUUGCAAGCCGCCUAGUGCAAAUCGAUGGGAAGAAAGAGGAGCUGUACAAUAUGAUUUCUGGCCUUGAAAGGAGCUACAACGUUAGUGGCAAGAUAGUCCGGCAAAAUGGUCGGCUGGCGCGUCAUCUUUCUGUACUAGUCAAGCCUAAACCCAAUGACCCUUACUGGCGUUUGCAUUCAAGAUCACAAAGAAUUAUGGACUGCAUACAUUUUAUGGGGGGCUGUUGUUUAGGCCCUGUGAUUGUGAGUGGUUUUGCCUGGUGGAUGACAGAGGCACAUGCAGAAGAAAAAGAUGAUAGUCUUGGAUGA